Molecule: ribosomal RNA, 253 nt
Filed under: uncultured bacterium
Lineage: Bacteria
Description: partial 16S ribosomal RNA
Rfam family: Bacterial small subunit ribosomal RNA
Source: RNAcentral
UACGAAGGGGGCUAGCGUUGUUCGGAAUUACUGGGCGUAAAGCGCACGUAGGCGGCUACUCAAGUCAGAGGUGAAAGCCCAGGGCUCAACCUUGGAACUGCCUUUGAAACUAGGUAGCUAGAAUUCUGGAGAGGUCAGUGGAAUUCCGAGUGUAGAGGUGAAAUUCGUAGAUAUUCGGAAGAACACCAGUGGCGAAGGCGACUGACUGGACAGAUAUUGACGCUGAGGUGCGAAAGCGUGGGGAGCAAACAGG